GUAUUAUAUGAAAGGAGAGGUUAGCACUCUCCUGGACAAGGAUGGAAGAGGCUCGUGAGCCUGACAAUAUGCAUACCAUUAAGGCAUUGCCACCUACUUUGUGGCAUGUAACCAUUCUUUAU
This is a small nuclear RNA of Dipodomys ordii (Ord's kangaroo rat), 122 nucleotides long. The record is from Ensembl. NCBI's taxonomy places the organism in Eukaryota, Metazoa, Chordata, Mammalia, Rodentia, Heteromyidae.